UGGGGAAUAUUGGACAAUGGGCGCAAGCCUGAUCCAGCCAUGCCGCGUGAGUGAUGAAGGCCCUAGGGUUGUAAAGCUCUUUCACCGGUGAAGAUAAUGACGGUAACCGGAGAAGAAGCCCCGGCUAACUUCGUGCCAGCAGCCGCGGUAAUACGAAGGGGGCUAGCGUUGUUCGGAUUUACUGGGCGUACAGCGCACGUAGGCGGACUUUUAAGUCAGGGGUGAAAUCCCGGGGCUCAACCCCGGAACUGCCUUUGAUAAUGAAAGACUUGAGUAUGGUAGAGGUGAGUGGAAUUCCGAGUGUGGAGGUGAAAUUCGUAGAUAUUCGGAGGAACACCAGUGGCGAAGGCGGCUCACUGGACCAUUACUGACGCUGAGGUGCGAAAGCGUGGGGAGCAAACAGG
This 404-nucleotide ribosomal RNA is filed under the name Actinomycetes bacterium. RNAcentral describes it as "Actinobacteria bacterium partial 16S ribosomal RNA". It matches the Rfam family "Bacterial small subunit ribosomal RNA", at positions 355 to 776 of the family's 1533-position model. Lineage: Bacteria; Bacillati; Actinomycetota; Actinomycetes. The record is from RNAcentral.